RNAcentral lists this ribosomal RNA (440 nucleotides) under bacterium gwi53. RNAcentral describes it as "bacterial SSU rRNA". It matches the Rfam family "Bacterial small subunit ribosomal RNA", at positions 52 to 505 of the family's 1533-position model. The record is from RNAcentral.
CACAUGCAAGUCGAACGAUGAUCCGGUGCUUGCACCGGGGAUUAGUGGCGAACGGGUGAGUAACACGUGAGUAACCUGCCCUUGACUCUGGGAUAAGCCUGGGAAACUGGGUCUAAUACCGGAUAUGACUCCUCAUCGCAUGGUGGGGGGUGGAAAGCUUUUGUGGUUUUGGAUGGACUCGCGGCCUAUCAGCUUGUUGGUGAGGUAAUGGCUCACCAAGGCGACGACGGGUAGCCGGCCUGAGAGGGUGACCGGCCACACUGGGACUGAGACACGGCCCAGACUCCUACGGGAGGCAGCAGUGGGGAAUAUUGCACAAUGGGCGAAAGCCUGAUGCAGCGACGCCGCGUGAGGGAUGACGGCCUUCGGGUUGUAAACCUCUUUCAGUAGGGAAGAAGCGAAAGUGACGGUACCUGCAGAAGAAGCGCCGGCUAGCUACG